Molecule: RNA transcript, 5541 nt
Organism: Peromyscus californicus insignis
Lineage: Eukaryota; Metazoa; Chordata; Mammalia; Rodentia; Cricetidae
Gene: CUNH1orf74
Gene name: chromosome unknown C1orf74 homolog
Exons: 4
Source: RefSeq, a predicted model, not a curated record
GUGGUUACUCCGCAUUCUUUCUUACGCUGGUUUGAUCAGGCUGCUGAGAGAACUCUUCUUAGUGGGAGAAAGGGGGAGUUGGCAGUGGAAAGCUUAGGUUCGGAGCUCAGAGCUCUGUCCCAGAAGGGCAGUUUGGGGAGAAAUGGCGGUAACUUUUACCAGAGACCGUGCCAGACGCAUUAAGGUUUGAAUCACAGAGCAUUAACUGCACCAGGUAAAAGUUAGAAUCGAAGCCAGAGACAAUAUAAAUGUGGCUAGAAGCCAGAAGCAUGGCUUCGGGAAACUUAAGUCUGCCAGAGAAAUGGGGUAUAGCACUGGUAUCUUGACAGUGUUAAUGACUCCCCCUACCACAUUGUUUCUAGGCUCUCAAGUGUUGGAACCUGAACUGUGGCUCAGGGAAGGGAACCGUGGCUAGCUAAGGAGGCCAUGCUUCAUGUAACUUCUUCCAGAACUCAUGUCAACACCACGCCCUCAGCUGCUGGUGGCGGCUGCUCAGCAGACCCUGGGCACGGGAAAGAGAAAGGGCCCACCUAGAGCUGUCUGUCUUCACCUAGCCGGAGAGGUGCUGGCUGUGGCCCGCGGGCUGAAGCCAGCGGUUCUGUAUGAUUGCAACUCUGCGGGUGUACUGGCGCUCCAGAGCUAUCUGGAGGCGCUGCAGGGGCUGGGCUUCCUGACGCUGGGACUUCACAUUCUUGAGAUUGGAGAGAAUAACCUCAUUGUCAGUCCUGAGCAUGCCUGUCAGCAUUUGGAGCAGGUACUGCUGGGUACCACAGCUUUAGUGGAUGUUUCCUGCUCACAGCCCCAUCCUUCUGUCUGUUCAUUGGACCAGCUCCAGGAUCUGAAAUCUCUCAUCGCUGAGAUCAUCACACAUUUUCAAGGACUGCAGAAGGAUGUGUCUCUGGGAGUCUCCUACAGCAAGCUGCAUUCCUCAGAUUGGAAUCUCUGCACUGUAUUUGGGAUACUCCUGGGCUAUCCUGUCUCUUACACAUUUCACCUGAACCAUGAAGGUGGCAACUGCUUAGCUAUGACCCCCUUGCGGGUGUUCACUGUUCAGAUUUCAUGGCUGCCUGGUCAACCUCCAAUUCUGCUCUACUCCUUUAGUGUUCCAGAGAGUUUGUUCCCAGCCCUGAGGGACUUUCUAAGCACCUGGGAGAAGGAGCUCAGAACUCGAUUUAGGACUCAGAGUGACUUUGGUGCCCUCAGCAUCUCCUCUGAGAUAGUCACACUGCCUGCUGUGGCCCUCUGACCUAACUCUGCUGGUUGAGAAGGUAUCAGUGAAUGCUCACCUCUGGAUGGAAGAUGUCAGUUAGCAUCCUAAGUGUUCAGUCACUCGGCCACGUGUGUGAAUGGGGAUAGCUGUCGGCCGUGACAGAUGCCAGAAGUUACUCAGAUCGCCAGGCUGUCUUUGUUUGCCAGGAACACUGCUAGUGCCGUAGCAAUCACCACCAUCAGCACCGGGAGCCAUUGGCCACAUUGCCGCUGUGUGGAAGGAGGUGGAGACAGGAGAGAGCAUCUGUGAGUUAGCUGGAGGAAAUAUGGGAUCAAGAUGUAAAGCUUCAGCUACUUCUUCAGCACCAUGCCUGCCUGCUCCCACCAUGAUGAUAAUGGACUAACCAUCUGAAACUGUGGUACCAUCCCUGAGCAUGUGGUCCUGGGUUGUAUGAGAAGGCCAGUUGAGCAAGCCAUGAAGAGCAAGCCAGUCAGCUGCACUCCUCCUCCUAGGCCUCUGCUUCAGUUCCUGCCUCCAGGUUCCUCCCUUAAGUUCCUGUCCUGACUUUCCUCCAAAGAUGGACUGUGUUCUGAAAGUGUGAGAUGAAAUAAGUCCUUUCCUCCCCGCUGCCCCCCAGUGCUUUUGGUCAUGGUGUUUAUUACAGCAACAGAAACCAUACUAAGAUACCACCUGUCCUGGUUGGUGCAGCCACAAGACUGUGAAAGUCCCCAGGUGACCAUGUGGAGCAAAGCGUCCCUCCCCGACUACCAUCUUGCCUGCUACUUUGUGUGAACUGCAAACAAACAUAAGAUGCUGAGACCCUGUGGGUAACUUACUGCCUUAGCAUGUUAUAGUCUAGCUCCUCGACUUUGGGCAAGCUGGAGGAGGGUGACAGUGCCUCCCUCAGGAUCCAGCCUAGAGGGAUGCAGCAAUGACCACAUGAGGCACUGGGCCUACAACAGCCUGAUACACAGCUUGAUCCCAGGACCUUCUUUACCAGUGAGUCACACCCUGGGCCAUGUUCUCUUCUGAUACCCUAGGAAGAUGUUUAGUUGUUUCUUCUUGAAGUUCUUAAUUGAAGGAAUAGAGAGAAUUUAUAACGUCAGGAAGCAUACUGUGCACUCCAGAGGUUGGCGGGAUGGGCUUCUCCCUACUUCUGGCUCAACUCUUGGUCUUGCACCUGGUAUGGCUCAUGAUAGAAGGGUCCAGUCCAAAGAUGCCACCAUGAUGUUGAGGCACUUGGGCUCUCUGGCAUGUUUAAGCAUCCUACUUUGGCAGAUGGGACACAUUCCACAAGUUGGUGACCAGGUCUGGAAUGGCCUGGAAAUUGGAACUGGGUGAAGAGCCCCACUAUAUGUGAGGUUGCUGGGUUCUGCAAAUAAAAAGUCGGGAAGCUCAGAAUUUCAGAGAAGCAGUGAACACUGUAGUAUAAAUAUGUCACAUAUGGUGUUUGGAGCUUACUUCUCAUGGCCAACACAUUCUUUAUUUAGCUGAGAUUCAGGCAUCUGGAUUUCCCAUGUUUGUUGGCAGUGUGAGUUACAGAGGACCUGUGGUCUCUCACUGGAGAUGUCGCCCACACAAAAGAUGGAUGUGACACCAUGGCCAUGAGCAAAAAUACACACAGACAACUGACCACCACCAGCUGACAGGGGCACGGUUCUCUGAGCAAAUGACAGGGAAGUCAGAAUCAGGUGGAAGAGUCGCAGGAGAGCGGCAGCUCUGAGUGAAGGCAGUGAUUUUACUCCCCCAAAUCUAGCAGAAGGGCUGGCUCCCAUUGCAGCCUUUGACACCGCAGCAGGUCCUAGGAGUCCUCAUUGAUCACUCUCAUUGGCUCCCGUGUUUACCCAGGAAGUGUGUCAAGGGCUCUGCUGACGUAAUGAGUCUGUCUCAUCCCCGGAAACAAAACUUAAGGUGGAAGCCCAGAUCUUACAAAAUCCACAGCAGUCUGGAAAACCCACAGCACAAACUGUGAGCCUGGGGCUCAGCAGAAGGGCUCCACAUAAAGCAGCACGUGGGGAGCGGGAGGGGACAGCAGAGGGGACUUGUGACUCUGAACACAAGUCACUCUCCUUCCCCAGAUCUGUUUUCUCCAGCGGUGGAUUAUGCCACUGAAAUAUGAGAACACAGAGAAAUGGAGACGGAAGUCUUAGCGCUGAUUUCUCCAUUUUCUCUCUGAGUACUUCUUUUGCUUGAGUUGAGUUGAUCUUGUAUACAUUGUCCCUGCCCCAGAAGUUAACAGGACCUCACAAGCAGUCCCUAAAGUUAUUAAAACAAACAAACAAACCUAGAAAAUAAAACCAGGCAGAGCCUCAGCAGCCCUGGGAAUAUGGAGGUCCCAGGAAAAGAGAGGUCUCCUCUGCUGCCUCAGACAUACUGGAGGGAGGGAGUUCAGGCUCAGACCUUACUACACCCGCUUCCAGUCAGUCUUUCUCUUUUGAUUCUGUCUGUAUGACCCCUUGAAAAUCAUAAAACCAAACAUCUGUCAUGUUCACACUUGUUCCUCUGCCUUCCUUGUUUGUAAAUAUUCCCAUCCCUGGCUCUACCCUUUGCUUAGUCCUGUCUUGGAAGGCCAGAAGCUAAGGCCCUCCACACAACCCUAUUCCCAUGAUGCCUUUUGUGCUGGCCUCUCUGCCCUCUGGUUCAGUUCAGUCUGGAAGGAAUCUUGGACCAUGCAAAGCAGUUCUGGGGUGAGGGAGAGCAGCCCACGCCAGUCUCUGUUGGCAUGUGGUUCAGGUGGGAGAGUUUGUUUUGCUACCUGCAAUGAUUGCAGGUCAGAGCACAGCAUCUAAAGGACGUAGUCAUGGCCUGUUCCUCUUCAUUUCACAGGGUCUGUGGGGUGGACUCCUCACAAUUCUCACUACAGAAGAGGGCUUCUGGGUGAAUACCACAGUGCCUGAUAUCACCCAGCUAGUGAGCGGCCACCCUGGUGGGACAUGAACUCUACUUUCUUGUGUCUUCCUCUCUCCUCUAGCCUAUCUCUCUACCCUGAGGUUUUAAGCUAGAGUUCUAAACCACCAGUCCUGAGAGAAGAGCUUCCUAGAGUUGAGGGGGCUUCAGUGUUCUCCACCUUUAGCUAUAACUCACAGUUCUCUAGAGAGCUGUUAAAACUUUGACAGUUCCAGGGACUAGAAGAAUGGUUCACUGCUCUUGCAGAGCACUCAGCUUCAUUCCCAGUACCCAUGUUGAGCAGCUCAUAACUGCCUGUAACUCCGGCUCCAGGAGAUCUGACACCCUCUUCUAGACCCCUCAGAGACCUGCACUAAUACACGCACACAUACCCUCACAUACAUACACAUAAUUGAAAGUAAAAAUAAAUCUAAAAAAAAAAAAAACAUUGCUCAUCUUCAAACUAUUUAAUCUUGGAGUGAAGCCUAGGUUGGCCUGUGUGUGAUAGUUUCAGUUCUUUAAGUAGCUCUAAGCAGGCAGCUUCAAUGAGAACUAGUGGAAAUCCAACCCCUUUAGUGACAUGAUUAAACUAGCUGGCAGAGGGCCUUGGCCAAGGCCUCUCUCUGAGUUGGUGACUGAACCAGUGUCCUUGUGCAUGCUAAGCAUAUGCUCUACCACUGCCCUGUUGUGGGAUAUUUGUUCACUGUGUGAAGAUGUAUUGCUAAUUGGUGUAAUAAAAGCUGAAUGGCCAGUAGCUAGACAGGAGAGAUAGGCGGUCCUUCCGGGCAGAUAGAGAUCUCCGGGAAGAAAAAGGGCAGGGUUGCCAACUAAAUGCGGAAUAAGCAGGAUGGGCAAUACAGAAUAAAAGGUAACUGAGCCACAUAAAAUAAUGUAGACUAAAAGAUAUGGGUUAAUUUAAAUUAUAAGAACUAGUUAGGAACAAGCCUUAACAAAGGCAGAGCUGUCAUAAUUAAUAAUAAGUCUCUGCUCAUUAUUUGUGGGCUCAUGGCCCAAAGAAAUCCAUCUACAUAUGGUUGGUGCUCAACAUGGGGCUUGAAUAUCUAAACAUAGGGCCUAAGAAAGCUAAAAACAAAACAAACAAAAAAAAACCCCAACCAACCAACCAAACAAACAAAAAUGGUCUGGACAAGGAGCCAGAUGAGGUUUCCUAGUCCUGUAGACUCUCAAGAGAGCCCAUGCUUGGAGUACAGUGGAGCCAGCCACCAGCACCAUUCGCUAAAGCUGAGCCAUGUGGUGGCUGACAUGGCAGGUUAAAAUUUGUCUCAUGUGGGCAGAGAAUGCUAAAGCAGGUACAGUAUUUUAAAAAAUGUGCUUAAAUGCUAAGGAAAGAAAAGAAAAUGAGUAUAGUCAGUCAUACAAAAAGUAAUUUAAAAAUGAUAAAGUAAGGCCUUUAAAGAAAGAAUAAAGUAAUGUAAAAAAAAAAA